RNAcentral lists this long non-coding RNA (1008 nucleotides) under Anas platyrhynchos platyrhynchos (common mallard). RNAcentral's name for it is "lncRNA (ENSAPLG00000021628.1)". The record is from RNAcentral. Lineage: Eukaryota; Metazoa; Chordata; Aves; Anseriformes; Anatidae.
AUACACUGGAGUUGCUACCGUUAUGAAGAACUGUGUUUUAGAUUAAUUAUGUUUCCACAUCUUGCAAAGAGAUGGAGACACUAGGAGCAGCAAUAGAAGCCCAAGCAGGAAGCUAGAAUGACAACAUCAUUAUUAUGGUUAUCAUUGUGGGAAAAGAGAACUAGAAAGAUCUGUGUCUUCUGGGUAACAAGUACCUGGAGACAUACAUGCUAUUAUGUGUAUUAUCUACAUAGAAAGGUAAGAAAUAUUUCUUCUUGUUAUGCUUUGGCCAGGACACAGCUGUUAAGAUUUAUGAUGCUAAGAUUUAUGAUGGAGGUAUCGUGCAAGUUCAGAUGAUUAAAAAGUAACAUGAUGAGAUAGUUGUUCCAUAAUGCAUUAUUUUCUUAAAUAACCUCACUGUGUCAAGCUGUGAACAAAAGAUUGGUCCAAUCACCCUCCUUACAUUUGUAACUUUGUGAUCUAGCUGUCAGUUUCCAUGUAUGAAUCCUUUAUUCUGAGGUCCACUACAAUACUUAAGAGCUAAGUGAAAUUACAUAAUCACAAUUCUUCACAUUAUUGAUAAUUAAUGAGUUAUAUCGAGGUAGACUUUCUUGUCUGAAAAAACAUAUGAAAGGACCAUGGUUCCUCAAAAGUAUAAUGAACUUCAUGGGAAGGAAAAAGAGUGGAGGGGAGGGAAAGGGAGGGGAGGGAAAGGGAGCAGAGAGAAGAAAAAAAGAGGAGCGUAGAGAAGAGGAGCGUAGAGGAGCGUAGAGGAGAGGAGCGUAGAGGAGAGGAGAGGAGCGUAGAGGAGAGGAGAGGAGAGGAGCGUAGAGGAGAGGAGCAUAGAGGAGAGGAGAGGAGCGUAGAGGAGCGGAGAGGAGCGGAGAGGAGAGGAGAGGAGAGGAGAGGAGAGGAGAGGAGGAGUCCUUCUAUUCUUUGGAGUCCUUUAAAGAUAAAGACAAUACAUUUUCCCUCAAAUUUAUCGUACCAGCUUGGAAGGAGAUGGAAAUAAAUGUCCUUAUGUUUUCA